AGUGAACGCUGGCGGUAGGCCUAACACAUGCAAGUCGAACGGCAGCACAGUAAGAGCUUGCUCUUACGGGUGGCGAGUGGCGGACGGGUGAGGAAUACAUCGGAAUCUACUUUUUCGUGGGGGAUAACGGAGGGAAACUUACGCUAAUACCGCAUACGACCUACGGGUGAAAGCAGGGGAUCUUCGGACCUUGCGCUAUUGAAUGAGCCGAUGUCGGAUUAGCUAGUUGGCGGGGUAAAGGCCCACCAAGGCGACGAUCCGUAGCUGGUCUGAGAGGAUGAUCAGCCACACUGGAACUGAGACACGGUCCAGACUCCUACGGGAGGCAGCAGUGGGGAAUAUUGGACAAUGGGCGCAAGCCUGAUCCAGCCAUACCGCGUGGGUGAAGAAGGCCUUCGGGUUGUAAAGCCCUUUUGUUGGGAAAGAAAAGCAGCAGGUUAAUACCCCGCUGUUCUGACGGUACCCAAAGAAUAAGCACCGGCUAACUUCGUG
Molecule: ribosomal RNA, 492 nt
Filed under: uncultured bacterium
Lineage: Bacteria
Description: partial 16S ribosomal RNA
Rfam family: Bacterial small subunit ribosomal RNA
Source: RNAcentral